RNAcentral lists this transfer RNA (89 nucleotides) under Bordetella pertussis. RNAcentral describes it as "tRNA-Arg(gcg)". Lineage: Bacteria; Pseudomonadati; Pseudomonadota; Betaproteobacteria; Burkholderiales; Alcaligenaceae. The record is from RNAcentral.
GCCCCUUUGGCGCGGCCGAUGUGCGGCCGCUGCGCUCGGCCACGGUGCAGCGCCUGGUGCCGGCCCUGUUCCAGCUGGGCGAACCGGCA